Long non-coding RNA from Gorilla gorilla gorilla (western lowland gorilla), 293 nucleotides. RefSeq lists it as uncharacterized. NCBI's taxonomy places the organism in Eukaryota, Metazoa, Chordata, Mammalia, Primates, Hominidae. The record is from RefSeq and is a predicted model, not a curated record. The transcript is spliced from 3 exons.
CCUAAGGUAAAGACAUCUUGUGAUCAGCUUUCCUCAGCACCCCAGAGGGAGAAUUUCCUGCAAGUUCUGCCGGCAUGGCACCGCAAGACUUCUCUGUCACCCAGUGAGCAUGGCUGUGCUCACAGGUCUGAACUGCAGCUCUGAGAGGCAAACCAGGAGGACCUUUCUUGGAUGUUCCAUCUCAGCUAGAGGAAAAGCCCUAAGAGAUCCUAGCCUGGAGAAUCAUGGAGCCAUGUUGUUAGCAGUUUGAGAUCAUUACCACAGGAAAAAGAGAACAGCGAGGAGAAAAGGAU